Molecule: ribosomal RNA, 467 nt
Filed under: uncultured bacterium
Lineage: Bacteria
Description: partial 16S ribosomal RNA
Rfam family: Bacterial small subunit ribosomal RNA
Source: RNAcentral
ACGAACGCUGGCGGCGUGCUUAACACAUGCAAGUCGAUCGGAAAGGCCCUGCUUUUGUGGGGUGCUCGAGUGGCGAACGGGUGAGUAACACGUGAGUAACCUGCCCUUGACUUUGGGAUAACUUCAGGAAACUGGGGCUAAUACCGGAUAGGAGCUCCUGCUGCAUGGUGGGGGUUGGAAAGUUUCGGCGGUUGGGGAUGGACUCGCGGCUUAUCAGCUUGUUGGUGGGGUAGUGGCUUACCAAGGCUUUGACGGGUAGCCGGCCUGAGAGGGUGACCGGCCACAUUGGGACUGAGAUACGGCCCAGACUCCUACGGGAGGCAGCAGUGGGGAAUAUUGCACAAUGGGCGGAAGCCUGAUGCAGCAACGCCGCGUGCGGGAUGACGGCCUUCGGGUUGUAAACCGCUUUCGCCUGUGACGAAGCGUGAGCGACGGUAAUGGGUAAAGAAGCACCGGCUAACUACGUG